Long non-coding RNA from Pelmatolapia mariae (spotted tilapia), 900 nucleotides. RefSeq lists it as uncharacterized. Lineage: Eukaryota; Metazoa; Chordata; Actinopteri; Cichliformes; Cichlidae. The transcript is spliced from 6 exons. The record is from RefSeq and is a predicted model, not a curated record.
UUCAUUUGUUAUCAAUGACUUGGUCUAGUUCACCAGCUUUAAAAAAUCGUGUCUACGUGCAAUUUAUGUAUAGUUGACCGGGAAAUUAAAGCAGCGAUCACUUGGACUAUUCCACAGCACCCCUCUCACAUUGGUACAUCCCCCCAGGUAUUGUCUUCUACAGUAGAGCGGGACAUUUGAUUUACUCUCAGCGGAAUUGACCGGAGAAGGCAUCAGUUCAUGCACUGCACUGGCCUGCACCACGAUUAGUAUAAGGCACAUUUCACGAAGCAGAACGCAGUCUUCAGAGAUAUCCACGUGAACGCUGUGAUACGUCUGACCUUCAGUCCGAAGAAGAAACCCAGACCAGUCUUAAAAGAAAGCACAAACCAAAUCCCCUGUACACAUAUACGGACUCAGAGGAUGAGCAGCCUACAAAAAAACGGUUUCCCCAGGCCCCUCGAGUGAAAAUACCAGCCCUCAUCACUCCGCAGUCUGCCCCCCAGCCCACUGAUAGCAACCAUCAUAAUGCCCCACCCAGCUUCCGGCACCUUUCGCCACUCCGGCACAAACCGACACAGCUUUGCGAUCUCCCCAGCAUGCAGGGUCUGAUGUCUUCCCUAUAGAUGAUUCCAGAGACUCUGUGAGGCCACUAUUGCAAGGUGAGACGCUUUGCGUUGAUUGGUGCUGCUGGACCACACUGGAGGUGCGAGUCCGCCGUGUAAUGGUUUAUGCCAUUACAAAGGAGCUGGCCUCUGUACUUAACUGGGCAGGGGAAAAAAACCAAGGACCAGACAAAGCAAAAAAGGGCAUUUAAAGAGACAGCGCUGUGCAGAUGCAUAUUUGGUAAGUUUUAACAUUUAUUGUAGUUUUAUGAGCCUAAAGUGAACAAUAAAGGGAUCAAUUGAUGUGCUGGGUGCA